GACGAACGCUGGCGGCGUGCUUAACACAUGCAAGUCGAACGCUGAAGCUCAGCUUUUGUUGGGUGGAUGAGUGGCGAACGGGUGAGUAACACGUGAGUAACCUGCCCCCUUCUUUGGGAUAACGCCCGGAAACGGGUGCUAAUACUGGAUAUUCACUGGUCUUCGCAUGGGGGUUGGUGGAAAGGGUUUUUCUGGUGGGGGAUGGGCUCGCGGCCUAUCAGCUUGUUGGUGGGGUGAUGGCCUACCAAGGCUUUGACGGGUAGCCGGCCUGAGAGGGUGACCGGUCACAUUGGGACUGAGAUACGGCCCAGGCUCCUACGGGAGGCAGCAGUGGGGAAUAUUGCACAAUGGGCGCAAGCCUGAUGCCGCGACGCCGCGUGAGGGAUGGAGGCCUUCGGGUUGUGAACCUCUUUCGCUCAUGGUCAAGCCGCAACAAUGGUUGUGGUGAGGGUAGUGGGUAAAGAAGCGCCGGCUAACUACGUG
RNAcentral lists this ribosomal RNA (483 nucleotides) under uncultured bacterium. RNAcentral describes it as "partial 16S ribosomal RNA". It matches the Rfam family "Bacterial small subunit ribosomal RNA", at positions 28 to 507 of the family's 1533-position model. The record is from RNAcentral.